Molecule: long non-coding RNA, 592 nt
Organism: Danio aesculapii
Lineage: Eukaryota; Metazoa; Chordata; Actinopteri; Cypriniformes; Danionidae
Exons: 3
Source: RefSeq, a predicted model, not a curated record
ACAUUCUAUGCCGUCACCAAAAAGUGAGACAAAAUCCAUGUCUGGUAAUGAUUAUCAAGCUGUAUACAACAACACGGACGACCCCGACAUCUAUACCAAUGUCUGAUCAAAAUUCAAGACAUCAGAACGAAGAAAAAUGUGCGUAUGAAGCAAUUUUAAACUGCUUACCAUUGUUACACUUUAUUCAUGAAAAAAAAAAAAUUCUUUCAUGCAUAUUAACUAUCUCAUUUAAGCUUCAAACACAGUAAACAUAUUUUACAGGCUAACAAUUUUUAUUAUUAAUUUUUUAAAUAUUUACUCUUAAAUCAAAAAAAUUGUUGAAUCCUAUUGUAAUUGUGUUAUUGUAUGUCAUGUAGCGUUUGUGAGUUACUGGUUGCCUUUUGUUCAUUUAUUCACUUAUUUUUCUUUAUUUUGUUUUCUGUCGGAUUUCCAGAUCCUGCUUUUAAUUUAGGCUCAAUUAGGAUGUUUAGCAAUAAAACCUGUUGUGGUGAUGAGCUGACUGUUGUUAUUAUAUGAACUUUUAGGGACCUUCUCGAAAAUGAGAUGAUUCAUCUCAAGGGGCUAUCCUAUUUAAUAAAUAAAUUAAAAUUAU